CUGAUUCAAGUGAAGAUGUUCAGAAGACAAAAUCAAACAUUAUAAGUGAGUCAAAUAUCUAACUUGGAUCAACAAUACACAAAAUAGUGACCACAAAAGGCCACUUGAGACAUAUUAGUCCACAAUCCAUGCAUUUGAGCGCAUCUCUGUAAAUAUAUUCAGCAAAAACACACACAGACGCUGUCGCCCACACAGAGUCACAGGCUCCAGGAGCCAAGCAGCAAUCAUUCUACAGCGUCCAUUAGCAUAAAAACACAGAAGACAUUUUGUAGAUGUUACACCAGAAUCAUUUGCGAAAACAGUCUAGAUAUUAACUAAUUUAACUAGUACUACAGCUGCUCAUCCCGCAUGUAAGGUGGAUCUGAACGUACAGUAAGUCUGCAAUUAAAAAAAAAAAAAGUCUUGUUUUAGUCACAAUAUCUACAAAUUCUGAAAUUAACAAGAUCAUUUCACUUACCCCACUGGCCAAAAAUGUUACUUAUUUUAAGCAAAUAAUAAGUUUUUUGUUUGUUCUCCUACAAACAAGACUAAACCGAAGUCAUCUAAUUAACACUAAAAACUAAAUAUUAUUGAUAAGUCUAAGUCUUAUUGAUUUUAUAAAAUAGUUUCUACACAUUUAAAAUAUCAAGAGCAUUAUUGAUGAAAACCUGAUUCACUAAAUCAGGUUCUCUGUAUCUGCCACCUGUAUUUGAAUAAUGUUAUAAUUCACUUCUUGUAUAUGAAGAGUUUCUUCAGAACAUGACACUCCUUUGUUUCUCAAUGAAUGGCUCCUCUGACCUUCCCAUUGAGAAAAAAGCACAAUAAGCUCCACCCCUUUGACGUGAUAGGUAAGAGGGAAGAGGCACCGCCCACCUGAGCUCCCGCCUCUCUUUAAAGGGGUCGGACCGGCAACAUGUGACUUGACUACAGUGUGGGAGUAAAAGGGGAGAGAAGACGAGAUCAGGACAGGAAUGAGGGAAACUGGAGGAGAGCAACGAAAGAAGGAGAGGUGGAGAUAUCAUGAAGGCAGACGACAGUUUUCUUCUGGAUUAAUCAGUGCUACCCGACAGACAAUAACACUCCAGAGCAGAUUCACUGGGAAAGAAGAGAAAGAACAUGUGAAGUGGAAACCAGGUUGAUUGUGAGUGUUUGCUGACUCAAGAUAGCCAGCGAGGAACAGGUUUGGGAUAGGAAGACAGGAAGAAGAGAAAUGAGAGUGAAGCGAGGAACAGAAAAAGGCCAUUUUACUGUCAUUUUCACGGACGAGAAAGAGCAUCUGAUACCUUCCUCACACGCUGCGCAGGUCCAUUCAAAGAUGAAAUAUCAGCUUCCCAGCAGACGUUUAGCUGAAGGAUCUCAGCCAUCAUCAGUCACUCAUGUGUUUGUCCAUCAAGAGAAACUUCAGCAAUCGUAUGAAUCAAGAGCUGGGGCCUGUACCAUGAAGUCCUUGUAGCUGGCUAGCCAGGUAAGUUAAGAGUUUAGCUUGCACUAACUAGGUUUCAGGUAAAUUGGUUUGACUUUUAGCAGCAUUCAUCUCCAUAUUAAUCAGCUUCAAGCAAAGUGACAUCUCUGAUGCUAUAAAGCCACUCCAGCUUCAGUUAUUCUAAAUGAAAGGAUGCUACAUAGUGAAACAUUAAGAUAAAAUCAUCCCUUUGAUUAUUUUUAAUCAUUAUUUUAUAUUAUUUAUAUAAUUAUUUUCACCUUAAUCCAUUACAAAAACCAGCCUUUAGUGAAUCAUCUCUAAACCCUGAAGUUCAUACCGAUGAUUCACAUCAUUUAAUUUGCCAAUGUUUUAUGCCGAAUGCCGUUCCUGACGCAACCCUCUCUCUGUGUCUGGGCUUGAGACCCUAUGGACUAAAAACCAGCUUACUUUAAUACUAAUUACACUUUUAUUUUCAGUCAAUAUAAACAUAUAGAUAAUACACAAUGUAAGUCUUAGAAUCAUGUAAACAUGACCACCUGAGUUUAGUUAUUUAAGUGUUUUACAUAAAUAGUUUUAGUCUUAUACACAUAUAUAGAGUACAACUUACUUGCACUUACAUGGCAAGAUAUUUUUUUUAAAUUUUUCUCUUUCAUUGAUAGAUCGUUUCAUCUUGCUGUGAAAUUCUUCAUAUUGUUCAUCCUUUUAAUCUUUGAUAGUGAAUGGAGCUGACUCUAACGAGAAGUGAAUCACGGUUUCAAGGCUUGUGAUUGGCUGCUUAUUACUGAUGUCACACGUUCAUGUACAUGCGCUCCGUCCUGAGAAAGCUGAUGACUAAACUAAUCCUGUAAGCCUGAAUUUGUUCAUCUGCCAUCAUGGUACAGGCCCCAGUUCUGUCCUGCAGUCUGAAAUACUGAACUCUACAAUCUAGAAACCAUUUUAAAUAAGCAACUAAUUCUCACAUAAUUAAUGUGUUCAUUUUAAUUGAGAGACACCCAAAAUAAUUAAACUCUUCAAUAAAUGACAAAACAUGU
Long non-coding RNA from Puntigrus tetrazona (Sumatra barb), 2433 nucleotides. RefSeq lists it as uncharacterized. The transcript is spliced from 2 exons. The record is from RefSeq and is a predicted model, not a curated record. NCBI's taxonomy places the organism in Eukaryota, Metazoa, Chordata, Actinopteri, Cypriniformes, Cyprinidae.